RNAcentral lists this long non-coding RNA (221 nucleotides) under Elaeis guineensis (African oil palm). RNAcentral describes it as "long non-coding RNA (EGUI_LNC073258)". Lineage: Eukaryota; Viridiplantae; Streptophyta; Magnoliopsida; Arecales; Arecaceae. The record is from RNAcentral.
GAGUGGUAGUUCCAAGUGAUCCAAUCUAGGGGAUUUCCUUUUUAGCACUAUUUGGAUAAUGGAUUUCCCUUGUUUGAGUGGAAGUGUCAGUCCCAAGGCCAAGGCAAGUAGAAGAAUCUUUCUAAGAAUCCUCUUUUUUGGUAGGGCUAUAUUGAUUUUUUUCUUCCCUGGUGAGGCUUUCUAUCUUUCUUUCCUUGAUUUGCUUUCUCUUUAGACAAAGA